AGUUGGUGCAGAUUUCCAUUCUAUGAGGCUGAUUUUGGGUGGGGAAAGCCCACUUGGGUAGGCACUGCCUUGAAACUCUACAAGGUUGCUAUUUUCAUAGACACCAAAGAUGGUCAAGGAAUAGAAGCGUGGGUUUCCUUGCCUAAGGAAGAUAUGGUGAAGUUUGAACAAAAUCCUGGCAUAUGUGCCUAUUCAUCUUUCAAGCCAAGCACUUAAAUAGUAUAUCAUCUGCUCUUUUUAAGGAGGGGAGAUAAGAACGAGUAAUUUAAUGGCAAAUUUCAUGUACUAUAAGUGCUUAGUUGUGGAUAAUAAGGACGUC
RNAcentral lists this unclassified non-coding RNA (319 nucleotides) under Hevea brasiliensis (rubber tree). Lineage: Eukaryota; Viridiplantae; Streptophyta; Magnoliopsida; Malpighiales; Euphorbiaceae. The record is from RNAcentral.